RNAcentral lists this ribosomal RNA (879 nucleotides) under uncultured bacterium. RNAcentral's name for it is "bacterial SSU rRNA". It matches the Rfam family "Bacterial small subunit ribosomal RNA", at positions 8 to 916 of the family's 1533-position model. The record is from RNAcentral.
AGAGUUUGAUCCUGGCUCAGGAUGAACGCUGGCGGCGUGCCUAACACAUGCAAGUCGAGCGAUUCUCUUCGGAGAAGAGCGGCGGACGGGUGAGUAACGCGUGGGUAACCUGCCCUGUACACACGGAUAACAUACCGAAAGGUAUGCUAAUACGGGAUAACAUAUUUUGAUGGCAUCAUCGAAAUAUCAAAGCUCCGGCGGUACAGGAUGGACCCGCGUCUGAUUAGCUAGUUGGUGAGGUAAUGGCUCACCAAGGCGACGAUCAGUAGCCGACCUGAGAGGGUGAUCGGCCACAUUGGAACUGAGACACGGUCCAAACUCCUACGGGAGGCAGCAGUGGGGAAUAUUGCACAAUGGGCGAAAGCCUGAUGCAGCAACGCCGCGUGAGCGAUGAAGGCCUUCGGGUCGUAAAGCUCUGUCCUCAAGGAAGAUAAUGACGGUACUUGAGGAGGAAGCCCCGGCUAACUACGUGCCAGCAGCCGCGGUAAUACGUAGGGGGCUAGCGUUAUCCGGAAUUACUGGGCGUAAAGGGUGCGUAGGUGGUUUUUUAAGUCAGAAGUGAAAGGCUACGGCUCAACCGUAGUAAGCUUUUGAAACUGAGAAACUUGAGUGCAGGAGAGGAGAGUAGAAUUCCUAGUGUAGCGGUGAAAUGCGUAGAUAUUAGGAGGAAUACCAGUUGCGAAGGCGGCUCUCUGGACUGUAACUGACACUGAGGCACGAAAGCGUGGGGAGCAAACAGGAUUAGAUACCCUGGUAGUCCACGCCGUAAACGAUGAGUACUAGGUGUCGGGGGUUACCCCCCUCGGUGCCGCAGCUAACGCAUUAAGUACUCCGCCUGGGAAGUACGCUCGCAAGAGUGAAACUCAAAUGAAUUGACGG